GAUGAACGCUGGCGGCGUGCUUAACACAUGCAAGUCGAACGGAAAGGCCCUGCUUUUGUGGGGUGCUCGAGUGGCGAACGGGUGAGUAACACGUGAGUAACCUGCCCUUGACUUUGGGAUAACUUCAGGAAACUGGGGCUAAUACCGGAUAGGAGCUCCUGCUGCAUGGUGGGGGUUGGAAAGUUUCGGCGGUUGGGGAUGGACUCGCGGCUUAUCAGCUUGUUGGUGGGGUAGUGGCUGACCCAGGCUUUGACGGGUAGCCGGCAUGGGAGGGUGACCGGGCACAUGGGGACUGAGAGACGGCGCAGACGCCAACGGGGGGCAGCAGGGGGGAGUAUUACACAAUGAGCGGAAGCCUGAUGCAGCAACGCCGCGUGCGGGAUGACGGCUUUCGGGGUGUGAACCGCUGUCGCCUGUGACGAAGCGUGAGUGACGGUAAUGGGUAAAGAAGCACCGGCUAACUACGUG
This 468-nucleotide ribosomal RNA is filed under the name uncultured bacterium. RNAcentral's name for it is "partial 16S ribosomal RNA". It matches the Rfam family "Bacterial small subunit ribosomal RNA", at positions 28 to 507 of the family's 1533-position model. The record is from RNAcentral.